This 963-nucleotide long non-coding RNA is filed under the name Anser brachyrhynchus (Pink-footed goose). RNAcentral describes it as "lncRNA (ENSABRG00000008355.1)". The record is from RNAcentral. Lineage: Eukaryota; Metazoa; Chordata; Aves; Anseriformes; Anatidae.
CCUUGAAGGAAUACCUUUGUCAGGAGGAAACCCCAAAUGCUCCCCAGACCAGAGAGAGGCUCUGUAGGCGCAUCGUGCCCUGCUGGCGUGGUGGCACUGAGGGAUCUGGGGGUGGGCUGCAGAAAGAUGCGAUGAGGACGGGUGGGAGCAGGCACAAACCUGGGCCACCUGCAGCUGGGUUUGAAAAGCCCCUGUGGGGGGUCACAGCUCCUGCGCUGCUUAAAUAGCUGGUAAGGUGGCCAUGGGCUUCUGAAAACCCUACCAGAACUUCAGGGGAGGAAUGAUUUAUCUUGCAGGCUCUUCUAUCUGUGAGAAUCACUGGUUAAUCGCUACCGUGGUUCAAAAUCUGUGAUAGUAUUCUGAUCCCAGAGCUCUUUAAAUGUGAUAAAGGGAAGGCCAGUGUUCUGCAGUGUCCUUCGGCGGUGCCGUCUGGUGGGGAAGGAGCUCGCAACAGCUGCAAGAACCGACCCCUGUGAGCUUUCUGCCCACGAUAACCCCAGAAAUUUCAAGCAACAGUUCUUGGAAACCAUAUGGAGAUCAGCCUGGGAGUUUUGCAAGGUAACACCCAGCAGCAGCCGUUUUCAGAGAGAAGAUACGAUUCUGACCUGCUGCUGUUAUACCUUCGGCAUUUAGUGAUAUGGGUUUGUAACUGAAAUGAAUAUCGCUGCGAACUGAUGCCUGUCCACCCACGUUGCCAGACUGUUUCUUCACAUGAAAAGGAAUGAUUCUUCAAAAGGAAAGUAUAAUUAAUAUUUCACAUACACUUUAGUUUUUUGAAUUGGCUGGUGAGGGGAGGGUGGCUAUGGACAGAGCAUGUUUCAUGUCUUUUGGAAAUAUUGUUCAGACAUAAACUGCAAUAUCAUUAUAAUAUACAAAAUAGCUUUACUGAAUUGUGCAAUUACAAUUUAAUAUAUUAAUUUACGGUGAAAUAAACCACAAUAAUAAGGGAGUGUAGAAGGUCUU